ACUUAAAUUGAAGAGUUUGAUCAUGGCUCAGAUUGAACGCUGGCGGCAGGCCUAACACAUGCAAGUCGAGCGGUAGCACAGAGAGCUUGCUCUCGGGUGACGAGCGGCGGACGGGUGAGUAAUGUCUGGGAAACUGCCUGAUGGAGGGGGAUAACUACUGGAAACGGUAGCUAAUACCGCAUAAUGUCGCAAGACCAAAGUGGGGGACCUUCGGGCCUCAUGCCAUCAGAUGUGCCCAGAUGGGAUUAGCUAGUAGGUGGGGUAACGGCUCACCUAGGCGACGAUCCCUAGCUGGUCUGAGAGGAUGACCAGCCACACUGGAACUGAGACACGGUCCAGACUCCUACGGGAGGCAGCAGUGGGGAAUAUUGCACAAUGGGCGCAAGCCUGAUGCAGCCAUGCCGCGUGUGUGAAGAAGGCCUUCGGGUUGUAAAGCACUUUCAGCGGGGAGGAAGGCGGUGAGGUUAAUAACCUCAUCGAUUGACGCUACCCGCAGAAGAAGCACCGGCUAACUCCGUGCCAGCAGCCGCGGUAAUACGGAGGGUGCAAGCGUUAAUCGGAAUUACUGGGCGUAAAGCGCACGCAGGCGGUCUGUCAAGUCGGAUGUGAAAUCCCCGGGCUUAACCUGGGAACUGCAUUCGAAACUGGCAGGCUAGAGUCUUGUAGAGGGGGGUAGAAUUCCAGGUGUAGCGGUGAAAUGCGUAGAGAUCUGGAGGAAUACCGGUGGCGAAGGCGGCCCCCUGGACAAAGACUGACGCUCAGGUGCGAAAGCGUGGGGAGCAAACAGGAUUAGAUACCCUGGUAGUCCACGCCGUAAACGAUGUCGAUUUGGAGGUUGUGCCCUUGAGGCGUGGCUUCCGGAGCUAACGCGUUAAAUCGACCGCCUGGGGAGUACGGCCGCAAGGUUAAAACUCAAAUGAAUUGACGGGGGCCCGCACAAGCGGUGGAGCAUGUGGUUUAAUUCGAUGCAACGCGAAGAACCUUACCUGGUCUUGACAUCCACAGAACUUUCCAGAGAUGGAUUGGUGCCUUCGGGAACUGUGAGACAGGUGCUGCAUGGCUGUCGUCAGCUCGUGUUGUGAAAUGUUGGGUUAAGUCCCGCAACGAGCGCAACCCUUAUCCUUUGUUGCCAGCGGUCCGGCCGGGAACUCAAAGGAGACUGCCAGUGAUAAACUGGAGGAAGGUGGGGAUGACGUCAAGUCAUCAUGGCCCUUACGACCAGGGCUACACACGUGCUACAAUGGCAUAUACAAAGAGAAGCGACCUCGCGAGAGCAAGCGGACCUCAUAAAGUAUGUCGUAGUCCGGAUUGGAGUCUGCAACUCGACUCCAUGAAGUCGGAAUCGCUAGUAAUCGUAGAUCAGAAUGCUACGGUGAAUACGUUCCCGGGCCUUGUACACACCGCCCGUCACACCAUGGGAGUGGGUUGCAAAAGAAGUAGGUAGCUUAACCUUCGGGAGGGCGCUUACCACUUUGUGAUUCAUGACUGGGGUGAAGUCGUAACAAGGUAACCGUAGGGGAACCUGCGGUUGGAUCACCUCCUUACCUUAAAGAA
Molecule: ribosomal RNA, 1554 nt
Filed under: Klebsiella pneumoniae
Lineage: Bacteria; Pseudomonadati; Pseudomonadota; Gammaproteobacteria; Enterobacterales; Enterobacteriaceae
Description: bacterial SSU rRNA
Rfam family: Bacterial small subunit ribosomal RNA
Source: RNAcentral